AAUGUGAUCCCUGACUCUUACAUCAUCGGGUAUGGGCUCACUCAACAGCCCGCUCAUAGCAUCUACGCUCAAAGGACCCGCACGUACAGUCCUGCCUUUCAGCGCCCCAUUUGGAACUCCUAGCAAGGACCUGACAGCAAUCGGGGUAAUAUCAGCCGUACAAGGCACUGGUGCCCCUCUAAACUCCAUACUUGUGAUAAACCGCCUCCAUCGGUGUCAUCAUCACCUCAUAAUCCAGCAAAUAGAGUGACUGAGUCUGGUGAAACCAGCGCUCAGACAAUGCCCUGAGAUAACCCCAAGGACAACUACAGGGAAGGAUGGAAAAGAACGUCCCGAAUCCCCAGCCGUGU
Molecule: long non-coding RNA, 350 nt
Filed under: Panax ginseng (ginseng)
Lineage: Eukaryota; Viridiplantae; Streptophyta; Magnoliopsida; Apiales; Araliaceae
Description: long non-coding RNA (PGIN_LNC003489)
Source: RNAcentral